GUUAAUAAAAAUGUAUUUCAUUGGUCAAACAAGGCUUCAGUGUUAAACAUUGCAGCACUACAGUGGAAUGCACAUGUUGUGACCUAGUCUCACCUUAACUUAAAAUUGCUGGAGGCUGUGUUAGGAUAGACUGGUUGCUGCAAGACAAUGUUUUCAUUCAUAUCAUUGCAUAUUUUACACACAAGAGGGCGCCAUACAAAUGACUAAUUUACAUUUUACGUGCAUGCAGUGGAUGUAGACCAUGGCCAUUUACUUUUGUCACUUUUUUUACACUCUUUUUGUUUUCCAGACUGUAUUUUCACUUUGACGCACACAAAAACAACACAAUACCCAUGUGACAAUAAUCAGCACGAUACUGUGGAGAAGCAAAUGGAACAGACGAGUAAACACUAAACAACAGGAUAAGCACAAUAGUCAGGACAUAGAACACUUGUGUAGAUUAGUACAAAUAGCAUAAAGGGUGCUUGCAGUCGCUGGUAACUAUCAACAGCAUCACUGAUUUAAUUUAAAGAAGGGUUUAGCGCUGCACAGCGCAAAUCCAGUUCUAUUGUUUCAGUGGUUUAGCCAGAGGAUUACUUGUAAACAGGUGAUGAUGUGACAGUGAGAUGACCAGGCAACAGAGUUUAACUGAGGUGGCUCUAAUCUAAAUCUCCCAAGGUUAUACUGAAUCUGGCUUUCCACAUGAACUUUUCAUGACAGAUGGCUGGAGGCUGCAUCAGGAAAACAUGAAUAAUCAUGAGGCAUUCAAGAUCGGGUUUGCAGAUUCUUGUUUGAUGGAACUGAUAAAAUCCUCCAUCCAGAUCCUAAAGAAGGUAACUGCUCCAUUAUACCUGUUAAACCUGGGAAAUGAUUUUGAAUCUCAAUAUGGAAAACAAAAGGAUUGCAAUCCUCAUGAACAGGAGAACUCAAGGACAAACACACAGUAGUGGAGGAAACCACAAUUAAUAUGCAACAAUCAGCAAGCAAGAAACACGUUCAGCACUGGAAUGACUGCUGCUAAUAUUCUGCUUAUAAUAGGUGACUCCUUAUGAGCUUUAUAGUGCCGUGUCUACACUUUUAUAUUUAAUUUCUUACCUGUUUAUGAUGUGUGUUCACUGUCAUUCUAUAUGUUUUUUUUUCUGCUCAGAUAAUUAUUUACCUUGCAAAAAUGUUGAAAAUGUCCUUUUUUCAACCACUGGGUUUGUUACUGAAAAGAAGUGAGGUGGUUUGAAAAAUGACCGUUGCCAUACUUGCAAACAAACUGUAUACUGUACAAGAUGAGCAAAAUCAAUAUUAAAAAAAAACAC
This is a long non-coding RNA of Acipenser ruthenus (sterlet), 1286 nucleotides long. RefSeq lists it as uncharacterized. Lineage: Eukaryota; Metazoa; Chordata; Actinopteri; Acipenseriformes; Acipenseridae. The transcript is spliced from 3 exons. The record is from RefSeq and is a predicted model, not a curated record.